This 468-nucleotide ribosomal RNA is filed under the name uncultured bacterium. RNAcentral's name for it is "partial 16S ribosomal RNA". It matches the Rfam family "Bacterial small subunit ribosomal RNA", at positions 28 to 507 of the family's 1533-position model. The record is from RNAcentral.
GACGAACGCUGGCGGCGUGCUUAAUACAUGCAAGUCGAACGGAAAGGCCCUGCUCUUGUGGGGUGCUCGAUUGGCGAGCGGGUGUGUAUCACGUGAGUAAACUGCCCCUGACUUUGGGAUAACUCCAGGAAACAGGGGAUAAUAUCGGAUAUGAGCUACUGCUGCACGGUGGGGGUUAGAAAGUUUCGGCGGUUGGGGAUGGACUCGCAGCAUAUCCGCUUGUUGGUGAGGUAGUGGCUUUCCAGGGUUUUGACGGGUAGCCGGCCUGAGAGGGUGACCGGCCACAUUGGGACUGAGGUACGGCCCAGACUCCUACGGGAGGCAGCAGUGGGGAAUAUUGCACAAUGGGCGGAAGCCUGAUGCAGCAACGCCGCGUGCGGGAUGACGUCCUUCGGGUGGUAAACCGCUUUCGCCUGUGACGAAGCGUGAGUGACGGUAAUGGGUAAAAAAGCACCGGCUAACUACGUG